This 424-nucleotide ribosomal RNA is filed under the name uncultured bacterium. RNAcentral's name for it is "partial 16S ribosomal RNA". It matches the Rfam family "Bacterial small subunit ribosomal RNA", at positions 360 to 776 of the family's 1533-position model. The record is from RNAcentral.
AAUAUUAGACAAUGGGCGAAAGCCUGAUCCAGCCAUGCCGCGUGUGUGAUGAAGGUCUUCGGAAUGUAAAGCACUCUAUGUUGGGAGUCAGGGUAGUAAGUUAAUACCUUGCUGUUUUGACGUUCUCGACAGAAUAAGCACCGGCUAACUUCGUGCCAGCCGCCGCGGUAAUACGAAGGGUGCAAGCGUUAAUCGGAAUUACUGGGCGUAAAGAGCGCGUAGGUGGUUCGUUAAGUUGGAAGUGAAAGCCCCGGGCUUAACCUGGGAAUUGCUUUCAAAACUGACGAGCUAGAGUAAGGUAGAGGGUAGUGGAAUUUCCUGUGUAGCGGUGAAAUGCGUAGAUAUAGGAAGGAACAGCAGUGACGAAGGCGACUACCUGGACUGAUACUGACACUGAGGUGCGAAAGCGUGGGGAGCAAACAGG